GACGAACGCUGGCGGCGUGCUUAACACAUGCAAGUCGAGCGCUGAAGCUUCUUUGGGGGUGGAUGAGCGGCGAACGGGUGAGUAACACGUGGGUGACCUGCCCUCAGCUCUGGGAUAAGCCUGGGAAGCUGGGUCUAAUACCGGAUAUGACCUUCUCUCGCAUGGGGGUUGUGGAAAGUCUGUGUUGUGAGACAUGGGCGGUUGGGGAUGGGCCCGGGCCUAUCAGCUUGUUGGUGGGGUGAUGGCCUACCAAGGCGA
Molecule: ribosomal RNA, 258 nt
Filed under: uncultured Actinomycetes bacterium
Lineage: Bacteria; Bacillati; Actinomycetota; Actinomycetes
Description: uncultured actinobacterium partial 16S ribosomal RNA
Rfam family: Bacterial small subunit ribosomal RNA
Source: RNAcentral